AUUGAACGCUGGCGGCAUGCCUUACACAUGCAAGUCGAACGGUAACAGGUUAAGCUGACGAGUGGCGAGCGGGUGAGUAAUACAUCGGAACGUGCCCAGACGUGGGGGAUAGCUCGGCGAAAGCCGGAUUAAUACCGCAUGUGCUCUGAGGAGGAAAGCGGGGGAUCGCAAGACCUCGCGCGUUUGGAGCGGCCGAUGGCAGAUUAGGUAGUUGGUGGGGUAAAGGCUUACCAAGCCUACGAUCUGUAGCUGGUCUGAGAGGACGACCAGCCACACUGGGACUGAGACACGGCCCAGACUCCUACGGGAGGCAGCAGUGGGGAAUUUUGGACAAUGGGCGAAAGCCUGAUCCAGCAAUGCCGCGUGCAGGAUGAAGGCCUUCGGGUUGUAAACUGCUUUUGUACGGAGCGAAACGGUCUUCUCUAAUACAGGGGGCUAAUGACGGUACCGUAAGAAUAAGCACCGGCUAACUACGUGCCAGCCGCCGCCGUAA
RNAcentral lists this ribosomal RNA (493 nucleotides) under uncultured bacterium. Its description in RNAcentral is "partial 16S ribosomal RNA". It matches the Rfam family "Bacterial small subunit ribosomal RNA", at positions 30 to 523 of the family's 1533-position model. The record is from RNAcentral.